Molecule: long non-coding RNA, 693 nt
Organism: Solanum lycopersicum (tomato)
Lineage: Eukaryota; Viridiplantae; Streptophyta; Magnoliopsida; Solanales; Solanaceae
Source: RefSeq, a predicted model, not a curated record
AGCCUAUAAUAAGCUUGAAUAUUUUCUAAGGAUAUUAUUUUCCUUCCAUAUUUCCUACAUGAGGAUGGUUCCUUUUCUCUCCAGUUAUCCUUUCCUCUGUAUCUUCCUGUUGAGCUCCUUUUCAUUAUUACAGUUACUGGUUUAACAGUGAACAAGUUCGUACUUAGGUACAAGUGGUGGAAAAACAACAUGGUUGGUAAGAUAGAUUCAUCAAAAUUUGUGUGCAUUAGAUACGUAAAGAAGUGUUGAAUUGUUCCAUACCGGUGGGUGGUGGCGUUGAAUUGUCCUACAUGGAUGAGUAGGAGCCCGGAGGAAAUUUUUCUUCUUCUAUGAUUUUGAAGAAUUCACAUCUCCGAGUGUGGGUGGUAUUAAAUUGUCCAACAUGGAUGAGUAUGAGGAAAUUUAUCUUCUUAUAUGAUUUGAAGAAUCCAUAUUUCAUAAGUUAUAAGCGAAUUUUAUUAACCGAAUUUUAUUAGGCUCAAGAUCUAUUUCUUCAGCGAGAAAGAUUGCACUCAUGUAGUGUACUGGCCAAAUUUUAAGUGUGCUGACCAAUAUGAGUUAUGUUAAAUAGAUAUGUACUUAUUUUUUUUUAACAAAAGGUCUUGAGUUCAAGUUUCUUUGUGUAUGUAGUUGCAUUUCUCAAGAAGUAUUUCUUCGAUAUUGAACUUUCUAAUAUUAAUUAAAAUUUAAUCA